This 790-nucleotide ribosomal RNA is filed under the name uncultured bacterium. RNAcentral's name for it is "bacterial SSU rRNA". It matches the Rfam family "Bacterial small subunit ribosomal RNA", at positions 69 to 856 of the family's 1533-position model. The record is from RNAcentral.
GCACGGGUAGCAAUACCUGGUGGCGACCGGCGUAAGGGUGCGUAACGUUGAGCUAAAUGCUCUAUACAGGCGAAUUAUCCCCGGAAACUUGGUUUGUGCCCCAUAGCUAUAAGAUAAGGCAUCUUAUUUUAUUUAAAGCUUUCGGUGGUAUAGGAUUGGCUCGCGUGACAUUUAGCUGGAUGGUGGGGGAACGGCCCCACCAUGGCGAUGAUGUCCUAGGGGUUCUGAGAGGAAGCCCCCCCACACUGGACUGAGACACGGACCCAGACUCCUACGGGGAGGCAGCAGUGAGGAAUAUUGGACAAUGGAUGGAAAUCUGAUCCAGCCAUGCCGCGUGCAGGAAGACGGCCCUAUGGUUUGUAAACUGCUUUUUCUACGGGAGCAAUAAGGUCUACGUGUAGACUGAUGAGAGUACCGUAGGAAUAAGCAUCGGCUAACUCCGUGCCAGCAGCCGCGGUAAUACGGAGGAUGCGAGCGUUAUCCGGAUUUAUUGGGUUUAAAGGGUGCGUAGGCGGCUUUUUAAGUCAGCGGUGAAAUUUUGCAGCUUAACUGUAACAGUGCCGUUAAUACUGGGGAGCUAGGAUUUGGUUGCUGUGGGUGGAAUGUGUGGUGUAGCGGUGAAAUGCUUAGAGAUCACACAGAAUAUCGAUUGCGAAGCCAGCUCACAAAGCCAAGAUUGACGCUGAGGCACGAAAGUGUGGGGAUCAAACAGGAUUAGAUACCCUGGUAGUCCACACUGUAAACGAUGAUAACUCGCUGUCGGCGAUACACAGUCGGUGGCCAAGCGAAA